Molecule: long non-coding RNA, 195 nt
Organism: Perognathus longimembris pacificus (Pacific pocket mouse)
Lineage: Eukaryota; Metazoa; Chordata; Mammalia; Rodentia; Heteromyidae
Exons: 2
Source: RefSeq, a predicted model, not a curated record
GUACACUGAUCAAGCUAUUAAUAAAUUCCUGAGAGAGGGAAUGCUCAAAUUUGCUGUUAAGUAUGUUAAGAAUUAGGUUCUGUUCAUCACCUCCCUUCCUCCUUGUGGUCCUCUAUCAAUCGACUUCACAAAGUGACCACUACCCAAGUUACUUAGAGCCAAUCAUUUAUUCACUAUCAGUUUAUAUUGUCUGUC